RNAcentral lists this ribosomal RNA (244 nucleotides) under uncultured Gardnerella sp. Its description in RNAcentral is "partial 16S ribosomal RNA". It matches the Rfam family "Bacterial small subunit ribosomal RNA", at positions 111 to 356 of the family's 1533-position model. The record is from RNAcentral. Lineage: Bacteria; Bacillati; Actinomycetota; Actinomycetes; Bifidobacteriales; Bifidobacteriaceae.
UAAUGCGUGACCAACCUGCCCCAUGCUCCAGAAUAGCUCUUGGAAACGGGUGGUAAUGCUGGAUGCUCCAACUUGACGCAUGUCUUGUUGGGAAAGUGUUUAGUGGCAUGGGAUGGGGUCGCGUCCUAUCAGCUUGUAGGCGGGGUAAUGGCCCACCUAGGCUUCGACGGGUAGCCGGCCUGAGAGGGCGGACGGCCACAUUGGGACUGAGAUACGGCCCAGACUCCUACGGGAGGCAGCAGCG